GAUGAACGCUGGCGGCGUGCCUAAUACAUGCAAGUCGAACGCUGAAGCUUGGUGCUUGCACCGAGCGGAUGAGUUGCGAACGGGUGAGUAACGCGUAGGUAACCUGCCUCUUAGCGGGGGAUAACUAUUGGAAACGAUAGCUAAUACCGCAUAAAAGUCGAUAUCGCAUGAUAUUGAUUUGAAAGGUGCAAAUGCAUCACUAAGAGAUGGACCUGCGUUGUAUUAGCUAGUUGGUGAGGUAACGGCUCACCAAGGCGACGAUACAUAGCCGACCUGAGAGGGUGAUCGGCCACACUGGGACCGGAACACGGCCCAGACUCCUACGGGAGGCAGCAGUAGGGAAUCUUCGGCAAUGGGGGCAACCCUGAACGAGCAACGCCGCGUGAGUGAAGAAGGUUUUCGGUUCGGAAAGCUCUGUUGUAAGAGAAGAACGAGUGUGAGAGUGGAAAGUUCACACUGUGACGGUAACUUACCAGAAAGGGACGGCUAACUACGUG
This 497-nucleotide ribosomal RNA is filed under the name uncultured bacterium. Its description in RNAcentral is "partial 16S ribosomal RNA". It matches the Rfam family "Bacterial small subunit ribosomal RNA", at positions 28 to 507 of the family's 1533-position model. The record is from RNAcentral.